UAUUUUUUUAACAAUACAUUGCAUCUAACAUAAAGCCAGGGCCUACUUAUAUCCUCUUGAAUUUAAUUCUACACCUUUUCUUCCCAUACUUCCCACAAAAUAAUGGAAUAUUUGCCUUAUGUUUUCCACAGUCAGUUCUGUGACAAUUGCCUGUUUACAUUAUUGUCAUUCCUGCAUUGGGAAACUCUAGCCUCCGAUCUGUAGCUAACAAUUCCCCUCUCUCAGAAAUAUUAUUCACCUUCUAAAUCUAUUUACUCUGUCCAGAUCAAGUAUAAAAGAUUGGCAAGGAUCAAAUAUAAUGGUGAUCAGCCAAACCCUGCUGGUACUUUUUAUCCCAUUAAGAACUCAUACUAAAUUCAAAUAACUAGCUUAGAUUGAAAUGGAGCACAUAUACAGUUAAUAAUGAUUUCAAAUUCAAAGCAAAAUGGCUCCUUUUGGUGCUACUGUAAUAAACUCAGGGUCUGACCUGGAAGAAUCCUUGAUUUCCCUGCUGAGCCAGCCAGCCAUGGUGCCAACUGUGACAACAGCUUUUGAUUAUGGACAGUCGCCCAUUACAAAAUGGAACAGAGCCAAGAAUACAUUUCAUGAAGUCACCAAACAGCUGCUAGUCCAUCACACCGCCUGGCUAUUAAACCUCAAGGUUGUAUCUGAACUCCUAAUGAAGAGGCAACAUGCUUUUGACUGGAUUGCUUUUUUUGGUAAAGAUGUUUAAUCUCAUGCAUCAAACUUUGAAAUCUUCAUCUAUAAUAAAUGGAACCAAUUAUAUAUCCACACAAGGGAGCUUGGAAUCUAUACCAAAGAAGAAACAAAAAUUAAAAACAAAAAGAGUGGUGUAACUGCUUAAGGUUUCUAUAACAGAACCCCUCCAAAGUGAUCCUUUUAAUACAUUUGACUAGAGAGUAUUUUUCUGUAGCACAGCAAUAAAAAUUAAAAUGUA
Molecule: long non-coding RNA, 937 nt
Organism: Pantherophis guttatus
Lineage: Eukaryota; Metazoa; Chordata; Lepidosauria; Squamata; Colubridae
Source: RefSeq, a predicted model, not a curated record